GAUGAACGCUAGCGGCAGGCUUAAUACAUGCAAGUCGAGGGGCAGCAGGGAUAGCAAUAUUCGCUGGCGACCGGCGCACGGGUGCGUAACACGUAUACAAUCUGCCUUUUACAGGGGGAUAGCCUUUCGAAAGAGAGAUUAAUACCCCAUAAUAGUUGACCGGGCAUCUGGUUGAUUUGAAAGCUCCGGCGGUAAGAGAUGAGUAUGCGCCUGAUUAGCUAGUAGGUGAGGUAACGGCUCACCUAGGCUACGAUCAGUAGGGGAUCUGAGAGGACUAACCCCCACACGGAUACUGAGACACGGAUCCGACUCCUACGGGAGGCAGCAGUAAGGAAUAUUGGACAAUGCCCGCAAGGGUGAUCCAGCCAUGCCGCGUGCAGGAAGAAGGCCCUAUGGGUCGUAAACUGCUUUUACACCGGAGAAAACCUCCCCUCGUGAGGGGAGCUGAUAGUAUGGUGAGAAUAAGCAUCGGCUAACUUCGUGCCAGCAG
RNAcentral lists this ribosomal RNA (490 nucleotides) under uncultured bacterium. RNAcentral describes it as "bacterial SSU rRNA". It matches the Rfam family "Bacterial small subunit ribosomal RNA", at positions 28 to 514 of the family's 1533-position model. The record is from RNAcentral.